This 35-nucleotide non-coding RNA is filed under the name unclassified sequences. Its description in RNAcentral is "DUF805b RNA". It matches the Rfam family "DUF805b RNA". Rfam says of the family: Bacteroidetes, Chlorobi (1 example), Proteobacteria. The record is from RNAcentral.
AUGGCGAAAACCGAAAAGCCAACAAAGAGUAGGUA